UGUCGCUGAUGGAUGGACCCGCGGUGCAUUAGCUAGUUGGUGAGGUAACGGCUCACCAAGGCGACGAUGCAUAGCCGACCUGAGAGGGUGAUCGGCCACAUUGGGACUGAGACACGGCCCAAACUCCUACGGGAGGCAGCAGUAGGGAAUCUUCGGCAAUGGACGAAAGUCUGACCGAGCAACGCCGCGUGAGUGAAGAAGGUUUUCGGAUCGUAAAACUCUGUUGUUAGAGAAGAACAAGGAUGAGAGUAACUGUUCAUCCCUUGACGGUAUCUAACCAGAAAGCCACGGCUAACUACGUGCCAGCAGCCGCGGUAAUACGUAGGUGGCAAGCGUUGUCCGGAUUUAUUGGGCGUAAAGCGAGCGCAGGCGGUUUCUUAAGUCUGAUGUGAAAGCCCCCGGCUCAACCGGGGAGGGUCAUUGGAAACUGGGAGACUUGAGUGCAGAAGAGGAGAGUGGAAUUCCAUGUGUAGCGGUGAAAUGCGUAGAUAUAUGGAGGAACACCAGUGGCGAAGGCGGCUCUCUGGUCUGUAACUGACGCUGAGGCUCGAAAGCGUGGGGAGCAAACAGGAUUAGAUACCCUGGUAGUCCACGCCGUAAACGAUGAGUGCUAAGUGUUGGAGGGUUUCCGCCCUUCAGUGCUGCAGCUAACGCAUUAAGCACUCCGCCUGGGGAGUACGACCGCAAGGUUGAAACUCAAAGGAAUUGACGGGGGCCCGCACAAGCGGUGGAGCAUGUGGUUUAAUUCGAAGC
This 753-nucleotide ribosomal RNA is filed under the name Enterococcus hirae. Its description in RNAcentral is "partial 16S ribosomal RNA". It matches the Rfam family "Bacterial small subunit ribosomal RNA", at positions 213 to 957 of the family's 1533-position model. Lineage: Bacteria; Bacillati; Bacillota; Bacilli; Lactobacillales; Enterococcaceae. The record is from RNAcentral.